GACGAACGCUGGCGGCGUGCUUAACACAUGCAAGUCGAACGGAAAGGCCCUGCUUUUGUUGGGUUCUCGAGUGGCGAACGGGUGAGUAACACGUGAGUAACCUGCCCUUGACUUUGGGAUAACUUCAGGAAACUGGGGCUAAUACCGGAUAGGAGCUCCUGCUGCAUGGUGGGGGUUGGAAAGUUUCGGCGGUUGGGGAUGGACUCGCGGCUUAUCAGCUUGUUGGUGGGGUAGUGGCUUACCAAGGCUUUGACGGGUAGCCGGCCUGAGAGGGUGACCGGGCACAAUGGGACUGAGAUACGGCCCAGACUCGUACGGGAGGCAGCAGUGGGGAAUAUGGCACAGUGGGCGGAAGCCUGAUGCAGCAGCGCCGCGUGCGGGAUGACGGCCUUCGGGUUGUAAACCGCUUUCGCCUGUGACGAAGCGUGAGUGACGGUAAUGGGUAAAGAAGCACCGGCUAACUACGUG
This 468-nucleotide ribosomal RNA is filed under the name uncultured bacterium. Its description in RNAcentral is "partial 16S ribosomal RNA". It matches the Rfam family "Bacterial small subunit ribosomal RNA", at positions 28 to 507 of the family's 1533-position model. The record is from RNAcentral.